Molecule: transfer RNA, 77 nt
Filed under: Stenotrophomonas acidaminiphila
Lineage: Bacteria; Pseudomonadati; Pseudomonadota; Gammaproteobacteria; Lysobacterales; Lysobacteraceae
Description: tRNA-Thr
Rfam family: tRNA
About the family: Transfer RNA (tRNA) molecules are approximately 80 nucleotides in length. Their secondary structure includes four short double-helical elements and three loops (D, anti-codon, and T loops). Further hydrogen bonds mediate the characteristic L-shaped molecular structure. tRNAs have two regions of fundamental functional importance: the anti-codon, which is responsible for specific mRNA codon recognition, and the 3' end, to which the tRNAs corresponding amino acid is attached (by aminoacyl-tRNA synthetases). tRNAs cope with the degeneracy of the genetic code in two manners: having more than one tRNA (with a specific anti-codon) for a particular amino acid; and 'wobble' base-pairing, i.e. permitting non-standard base-pairing at the 3rd anti-codon position.
Source: RNAcentral
GCCGAGUUGUUCAUGACGCGUCGACUUUGGGCGCAUUCGUAGUGCGUAGGUCGCAGGUUCGACUCCUGUUUUCGGCA